This 301-nucleotide ribosomal RNA is filed under the name uncultured bacterium. RNAcentral's name for it is "partial 16S ribosomal RNA". It matches the Rfam family "Bacterial small subunit ribosomal RNA", at positions 509 to 807 of the family's 1533-position model. The record is from RNAcentral.
CAGUAGCCACGGGAAUACGGAGGGGGCUAGCGUUGUUCGGAAUUACUGGGCGUAAAGCGCACGUAGGCGGCUUGGUAAGUUAGAGGUGAAAGCCUGGAGCUCAACUCCAGAAUUGCCUUUAAGACUGCCGAGCUAGCAGGUGAGAGAGGUAAGUGGAAUUCCGAGUGUAGAGGUGAAAUUCGUAGAUAUUCGGAAGAACACCAGUGGCGAAGGCGGCUUACUGGCUCAUACUGGACGCUGAGGUGCGAAAGCGUGGGGAGCAAACAGGAUUAGAUACCCGCGUAGUCCCUGUCUCUUAUAC